UAGUCCACGCCCUAAACGAUGUUUACUCGAUGUUUGAUUGUAAGAUUGGGCAGCCAAGCGAAAGUGAUAAGUAUCCCACCUGGGGAGUACGUUCGCAAGAAUGAAACUCAAAGGAAUUGACGGGGGCCCGCACAAGCGGUGGAGCAUGUGGUUUAAUUCGAUGAUACGCGAGGAACCUUACCAGGGCUUAAAUGUAGUCUGACAGCUGUAGAGAUACGGUUUUCUUCGGACAGAUUACAAGGUGCCGCAUGGUUGUCGUCAGCUCGUGCCGUGAGGUGUCAGGUUAAGUCCUAUAACGAGCGCAACCCCUGUUGUUAGUUGCCAGCGAGUAAUGUCGGGAACUCUAACAAGACUGCCGGUGCAAACCGCGAGGAAGGUGGGGAUGACGUCAAAUCAUCACGGCCCUUACGUCCUGGGCCACACACGUGCUACAAUGGUGGGGACAGAGAGCAGCCACUGCGCAAGCAGGAGCGAAUCUAUAAACCCUAUCUCAGUUCGGAUCGG
This 504-nucleotide ribosomal RNA is filed under the name uncultured bacterium. Its description in RNAcentral is "bacterial SSU rRNA". It matches the Rfam family "Bacterial small subunit ribosomal RNA", at positions 791 to 1301 of the family's 1533-position model. The record is from RNAcentral.